Molecule: long non-coding RNA, 2246 nt
Organism: Delphinapterus leucas (beluga whale)
Lineage: Eukaryota; Metazoa; Chordata; Mammalia; Artiodactyla; Monodontidae
Source: RefSeq, a predicted model, not a curated record
CUCUCAGAUGUCCAGAGCCUCUAAGACUGCAUCUCCGCCCUCAGCAUCCAGGGAAACCAGCAACAGAAGAGCAACCUGGGGAAGAGAACUGUGUCACACGCUGGUGCAGGAUGCGGGAGCAUCUGGAUCCAUCACCGCCCAGCUCUUCCCCGAGUGUCUGGGAUUUGGCCUUUCUGGAUUCUGCCUCUGUCUCUCCAGCUGUGCCCUCUCAGGCUCCCGUGGAGCCGAAGCCCCAACCCAGAACUCCAGACUCCCUGUGUCCAAUGGCCUGGUGGAUGCCUCUCCCUGAAUAUCCCACAGGAGAGGGGGACCAAGGGUUGCUACGUACCUGGAGAUGGAGUUCUCUGAUGCGAUGUCCUUUGGGGUCCGGACUGUUGUGAAGGUUCAUCCAGUUCCACGCCCACCCACUGGCCGCUGGCGAACUCCGUGGUACCGCAGAACCGCAGUGUGCCCGUCUGAGGAAACAAGGGAGGAUAUGGCUUGGGUGCACCUUGAGAGGCCAUGAUAAGAUCACCGGCACACAGGCAGCAUGGUGGGAUGGAUGAGGGAGCCCCAGGCUUAAAUCUCAGCUUGGACAUCACCAUUCACUGGUUGUAUAACUUAACUGUGCCUCGAUGUCCUCAUCUGCGAAAUGGGAACAGAAAUCUCACCCACCUUACAGGAUUGUUACAGAGCUGCGCUGUCCAACGCAGUAAACGGCCACUAGCCACAUAUGACAAUUUAAAUUAACUAAAAUUAAAUUAAAAUAUCAUUUCUCCAAUCACACUAGCCACAUUUCAAGUGCUUAAUAUCCACAUGUGGCUCAUGGCUAGCUCACUGGACUACACAGACGCAGAACAUUUCCAAUCUCACGGAAAGGUCUACUGGACAUGAAUGCUACAGAGACAUAAAAGCCCUCAGAACAGGGCCUGGUGCCGAGUAAGGGAUCAGUAAGUGUUGCCUAUUAUUAUCCUAUAACUUUGGUAAAGGGACCUCACGGGGCCUCAGUUUCAUUUGGAAAAUGGGGAUAACAGUCCACCUCAGAGGCUGGUUAUCCGGUGGAAACAUUUUUAAUAUAUGUGAAGUUGCUCAGCUGCAGCGAGUGUGGUUAUUAUCAUUUGUGUGAGGCUUCUUCACUGCCCCGAGCCUCAGUUCCUUGUCUGUAAAAUGGGCUAAAUAAUAGUGCCUACUUUGGAGAGUUGGUGUGGGGAUCAGAACAGUGCCUGGCGCACAGAGCCAAGCCCUAUUCUAAGGGCUUUACACAUUUUGUGCUGUUCAGCAGAAACUAACACAACAUUGUAAAUCAACUAUAUGCCAAUACAAAUUAAUUUUAAAAAAUAAAAUAAAAUAAAAUAAAGCUCAGACAACCCCCCUCAAGUGGGUACUAUCAGCUCCAUUUUACAGAUGAAGAAACUGAUGCCCAGAGAGGUGAAAUCACUGGCCCCACAGCUGGUAAGUGGCAAAGCUGAGAUCUGCCUGAGCAAAUCCCUGAGCCUGAGUUCAUGACCACUGUGCUGGGCUGCUUCUCUACAGGCAGAGAUUGUUAUUACAUGUCUUCAGACUAAGAGUUUCACCUCUUGGGCUUCUUACAGUCUUCUGUAUUGUAAAAUGGAGAGAAUCAACCCAUCCUGCUUUCAAAAUUGUCACACUGAUUUGAUUAAAUCAUGUACAGAAACUUUCCAGAUGGGGCGGAUGCAUGCAAAACUCUUGAUUAUGAAACAAAAUGUGACUUUUAUGGCUUCUCACUGUACAAAGAAACAAAAUUCAAAUUCACUCCAGUGGCCUGCAGGUCUGGUGAGAUCCAGCCCCUUCUAAUGUCUCCACUUCACCCUCCCUGGAUAACUCCCCUCCAGUCACACUACCCCUCCCCUCCUCUGGGACUUUGUACCUGCGGUCUCCUCUGUCUCCAUAUUUUUGCAAGGUGAGCUCCUUCCCCUCUCAGCUCAGAUAUCACCUCCUCAGAGAAGCCUUCUCAGAAGACCUUAGCUAAAACCACCUCGGCCCUCAGCUAGGGCCAAUUUAUUAAAUCCAAGCAUUUAAUGGUUUUCAAAGCCUUUGUUGCUACUGGAAAUUAUCUCAACUAUGGGUAUACUUUAUUGACUGUCUCUUCCUCAAUAGAAAUGGAGUUCUAUGAGAGCAGGGCUGGGGCUAACACAGGCCUUUAUCCCCAAGGAUAGGCUGGGUCCAGCAUGGAGCCUGAGGGACACCAGGUAAAUGAAUCAAACUUGGAAUGAUUGGAUGAAUAAAGAUCUCUCUGUCCUCUGGGA